RNAcentral lists this ribosomal RNA (597 nucleotides) under Cicadellidae sp. 1 ESC-2022a. Its description in RNAcentral is "SSU rRNA". It matches the Rfam family "Eukaryotic small subunit ribosomal RNA", at positions 1187 to 1787 of the family's 1831-position model. The record is from RNAcentral. Lineage: Eukaryota; Metazoa; Arthropoda; Insecta; Hemiptera; Cicadellidae.
GGCUUAAUUUGACUCAACACGGGAAACCUCACCAGGCCCGGACACCGGAAGGAUUGACAGAUUGAUAGCUCUUUCUUGAUUCGGUGGGUGGUGGUGCAUGGCCGUUCUUAGUUGGUGGAGCGAUUUGUCUGGUUAAUUCCGAUAACGAACGAGACUCUAGCCUGCUAACUAGGCGUCUCCGGUAUCCACAAUAGUGCUACCGGCGAAUAAAAUUCUUCUUAGAGGGACAGGCGGCUUCUAGCCGCACGAGACUGAGCAAUAACAGGUCUGUGAUGCCCUUAGAUGUCCUGGGCCGCACGCGCGCUACACUGAAGGAAUCAGCGUGUCUUCCCUGGCCGAAAGGUCCGGGUAACCCGUUGAACCUCCUUCGUGCUAGGGAUUGGGGCUUGCAAUUGUUCCCCAUGAACGAGGAAUUCCCAGUAAGCGCGAGUCAUAAGCUCGCGUUGAUUACGUCCCUGCCCUUUGUACACACCGCCCGUCGCUACUACCGAUUGAAUGAUUUAGUGAGGUCUUCGGACUGGUGCGCGGCGAUCGCCUUGUGCGGCCGCCGAUGUUGCCGGAAAGAUGACCAAACUUGAUCAUUUAGAGGAAGUAAAA